AUCAACCAAUGAAAUCGAUCGGACCUCCAAAUGAUCUUAAUAAACGUCAAUCACUCUACACAACGGUAGAUGCCCUCAAGACUCGAAAGUGAAAGGAAGGAAAAGAAGCUAAUUUUCUCUUGAGAAUUUACUAUGAGCAAUCAUAAAGAAUGCAACCGAAGUCGUAUCCUGGUUGAAAUUUGAAGCAAACAUAAAACGGAUCGCUAUGAAAACAACUGGAAGAAAACAAAUGAGGAGUAAGGAUAUUCAAAUGAAAGCAACAGACAGAGCGUGUUUUUAUGGAUUUACUUGUGCACACAUUCAAAAUUUUUUUGCCUUUUUUCUUAAAACUUUGCACGAAAAGUUUGUUUAACAUUUUGUUGUGCAAUCACUAUCUUCGUCGUAUUUUGCUGCUGGUAGACGAGUACUAGUAAGGGUGGAAAAUGAUUAGACAAUAGAUCAAAAAAACAAUUGUUGUGAACGAUCUAUCUGAAAACGAUGUUCAAAAGCAUUCAAAGAAGUCUAUAUGACUUCCUCCAUUUGAAAUGUGUAAGGGAUUAAAACAAACAUUCCUUCAUGAAACAAAACUAAAUGCUGUUGUGUGCAUGUGAUAACGAUUUUGAUUAAAUUUUUAAG
Xenia sp. Carnegie-2017 is the source of this 615-nucleotide long non-coding RNA. RefSeq lists it as uncharacterized. Lineage: Eukaryota; Metazoa; Cnidaria; Anthozoa; Malacalcyonacea; Xeniidae. The record is from RefSeq and is a predicted model, not a curated record. The transcript has 3 exons.